UUAUUUGUUGGUGCAGCACCAUCAAGAUUCACAAAGGCUUUAAUUAUUAUUUACGUUUAAAUUCUCUUUCCUUAAUUUUAUUCAAAUUUAAAAAAGAAAAGAAAGAAAAAAGAAAAAAGCCUUUUCCUUUGGGAAUCUUGAUGAUGCUGCAUCGUCAAAUAC
This is a non-coding RNA of Cucumis melo (muskmelon), 162 nucleotides long. NCBI's taxonomy places the organism in Eukaryota, Viridiplantae, Streptophyta, Magnoliopsida, Cucurbitales, Cucurbitaceae. The record is from Rfam.